GCUGAUAUUCGACACCGUAUUAUAAUAUACCUGUACAAAGAAACUGGUCCAUCCUGAGGGGAUAUUCGCUUCUGCGGUUGUCCAGCAUUUCAGAGAUGGUUAGAGGGUGUGCGAGGAGGGAGAGCUGCUGCGAUCACCGGAUCUACUUCAAAGACAAUAGCUAACGACCUUCGCAAUAACUAUAAUAUACGGUGCUGUGCUGGAUUGUGGCCUGAUGUGACCUGCUGUGACGAACCUGCAAAACUUCAAAACUAACUAAGCCAAACAUGCCGACCAGUCUGAUGGUCAUAAAACUCAUAACGUUCUCGGUAAAAUAUAAAAUGAACUCGACGUCUGUUCCACUAGUAUUAAUAAAACAUUAUAUUCAGUCUUGGAAUUAAAGAAUACGUUGUUAAUAUCGCAGUAGAAUUAAUCAAUUAAAUAAAUGUACAGCAAAAAUAAUUACAAAAAAAUGGUAAAUGGAGAAAUUCCUUUUCAUACAUUAACUUACGCAGGUUUGCAAAUAUUUGACUAAGUUGUAUUUUUUUAUUAAAAUUUACAAAAGUUAACCGUAUGUUACAGAUAUUACAUCAUAAUUUGUAUACAAUUAUAUCUAUAAACUAUAUACAUAAGGGAGAUAAGGAAAA
This is a long non-coding RNA of Sipha flava (yellow sugarcane aphid), 626 nucleotides long. RefSeq lists it as uncharacterized. The record is from RefSeq and is a predicted model, not a curated record. Lineage: Eukaryota; Metazoa; Arthropoda; Insecta; Hemiptera; Aphididae. The transcript is spliced from 3 exons.